RNAcentral lists this ribosomal RNA (546 nucleotides) under Aureobasidium proteae. Its description in RNAcentral is "partial 26S ribosomal RNA". Lineage: Eukaryota; Fungi; Ascomycota; Dothideomycetes; Dothideales; Saccotheciaceae. The record is from RNAcentral.
GCCAGCAUCCUAGCCGAAGCGCGGACCUCAGUCCCGGCUGGCCGUAUUACACCCUGGGCUAUAACACCUCCACCGAAGUGGAGGCCACAUUCCCAGAGCCUUUAUCCGGCCGCCGAAACUGAUGCUGGCCUGUCCAAACUGAGUAAACCGGUCAGAAGACCGGCCGAACAGUUUAAACAAGUCUGAUUGCAAGCGCUUCCCUUUCAACAAUUUCACGUGCUUUUUAACUCUCUUUCCAAAGUGCUUUUCAUCUUUCGAUCACUCUACUUGUGCGCUAUCGGUCUCUCGCCAAUAUUUAGCUUUAGAAGAAAUUUACCUCCCAUUUAGAGCUGCAUUCCCAAACAACUCGACUCGUCGAAGGAGAUUUACAUAGGGUGCCAUUUCCUGUCACAUACGGGAUUCUCACCCUCUAUGACGUCCUGUUCCAAGGAACUUAGACAGGCGGCUUCCCCAAAUCAUCCUCUACAAAUUACAAUGCGAACCCGAAGGCUAGCUUUCAAAUUUGAGCUGUUGCCGCUUCACUCGCCGUUACUAGGGCAAUCCCUG